UGUGUAGGCGGUUGCUUAAGUUUGGUGUGAAAUCUCCCGGCUCAACCGGGAGGGUGCGCCGAAUACUGAGUGACUCGAGUGCGGGAGAGGAGAGUGGAAUUCCUGGUGUAGCGGUGAAAUGCGUAGAUAUCAGGAGGAACACCGGUGGUGUAGACGGCUCUCUGGACCGUAACUGACGCUGAGACACGAAAGCGUGGGUAGCAAACAGGAUUAGAUACCCUGGUAGUCCACGCCCUAAACGAUGCAUAUUUGGUGUAGGCCGUUCAGUCGGUCCGUGCCGGAGCUAACGCGUUAAAUAUGCCGCCUGGGGAGUACAGUCGCAAGGCUGAA
RNAcentral lists this ribosomal RNA (330 nucleotides) under uncultured bacterium. RNAcentral describes it as "bacterial SSU rRNA". It matches the Rfam family "Bacterial small subunit ribosomal RNA", at positions 568 to 898 of the family's 1533-position model. The record is from RNAcentral.